GUUUCCAAAUUAGUCCGAGAACGGCAUGAAGUUUAAGUUUGAGCACCUCAAGAUUAGGUAAUUUUCUGAGAAUGUUCAUGUCUUCCCAUUGUAGGUUUGUUCUGCACAAUGUUAACUUCUUAAGGUUUGGUGGGAAAUUGUCACAAUGUGGAAUGUCCACCCAACCUCCGAUAAUCGGCGUAAAAAUUAGAUCUAAAGACUCUAUGACCACAACUUUGAGCUUCUCAAGCUGAGUUAAAUGUACAAGAUUAUCAAGGAAAUUCCUAAUAGGGUAUGAAACAAUAUCAAUUAAAAUUCCCAACUUCUUCAAAUUUGGAAUUCUUAGAAACACCUCAUCAUUACAAGAUGAGGGAAUCAAUCCGGUUAUUGUUUGCAAGUGAUUCUCCCUCUCAGCAAUUAGGGAUGUAGGUGGGGGUAUGAAAAGACUAAACUUUUUUGUAUGGAUAUGUCUUAGUUGAGGCAUAUUCACAACUUCCCAUGGUAGGAACUGGGUUCUCAAACUUAAACC
Solanum stenotomum is the source of this 508-nucleotide long non-coding RNA. RefSeq lists it as uncharacterized. Lineage: Eukaryota; Viridiplantae; Streptophyta; Magnoliopsida; Solanales; Solanaceae. The transcript has 3 exons. The record is from RefSeq and is a predicted model, not a curated record.